GAUGAAGAACGUAGUGAAAUGCGAUAAGUAAUGUGAAUUGCAGAAUUCAGUGAAUCAUCGAAUCUUUGAACGCAUCUUGCGCUCCUUGGUAUUCUGAGGAGCAUGCCUGUUUGAGUGUCAUUAAAUUCUCAACCGCACUGACUUUGAAUUGGUGUGGCUUGGAUUUGGGGGGAAAAUUGUUGUGGGCUUUUUUGUAUAGUCUGCUCCCCUGAAAUUGAUUAGCGGUACCUUUGUGGAACUGUCUACAGGUGUGAUAAUUAUCUACAUCCUAGACAUCUGCUGGAAUGCUGCUUUCUAAACCUUACUUGUAUUGACAAUCUUGACCUCAAAUCAGGUAGGACUACCCGCUGAACUUAAGCAUAUCAAUAAGCGGAGA
RNAcentral lists this unclassified non-coding RNA (376 nucleotides) under soil metagenome. RNAcentral's name for it is "partial contains 5.8S ribosomal RNA, internal transcribed spacer 2, and large subunit ribosomal RNA". The stretch from base 1 to 120 matches the Rfam family "5.8S ribosomal RNA", at positions 35 to 154 of the family's 154-position model. The record is from RNAcentral.